RNAcentral lists this ribosomal RNA (576 nucleotides) under uncultured bacterium. Its description in RNAcentral is "bacterial SSU rRNA". It matches the Rfam family "Bacterial small subunit ribosomal RNA", at positions 37 to 620 of the family's 1533-position model. The record is from RNAcentral.
UGGCGGCGUGCUUAACACAUGCAAGUCGAACGAUGAAGCCCAGCUUGCUGGGUGGAUUAGUGGCGAACGGGUGAGUAAUACGUGAGUAACCUGCCUUUAACUCUGGGAUAAGCCUUGGAAACGGGGUCUAAUACCGGAUACGACCAACCCUCGCAUGGGGUGUUGGUGGAAAGGGAUUUUGUACUGGUUUUAGAUGGGCUCACGGCCUAUCAGCUUGUUGGUGAGGUAACGGCUCACCAAGGCGACGACGGGUAGCCGGCCUGAGAGGGUGACCGGCCACACUGGGACUGAGACACGGCCCAGACUCCUACGGGAGGCAGCAGUGGGGAAUAUUGCACAAUGGGCGCAAGCCUGAUGCAGCGACGCCGCGUGAGGGAUGACGGCCUUCGGGUUGUAAACCUCUUUCAGCAGGGGAGAAGCGAAAGUGACGGUACCUGCAGAAGAAGCGCCGGCUAACUACGUGCCAGCAGCCGCGGCAAUACGUAGGGCGCGAGCGUUGUCCGGAAUUAUUGGGCGUAAAGAGCUUGUAGGCGGUUUGUCGCGUCUGCUGUGAAAGCCCGGGGCUUAACCCCGGGU